GUUUUUACUGGUUUUUAUUGGUGUGACGCAGGGGACCCCACGGCUGUGCCCGCCCUCGUGUGUCCCUGCGUGUCCCCCAGGGGUGACCCGGCCUGGCUGUGACCCCGCAGUGCCACCCUGGUCCCCGUCCUGCCAUCCCUGAUGACGCUGACGCGGGCGGGCGCGAUGGGCCUGGAGGGCGCGGUGGCACUUGGCUUGUCCCCAAGGGUGGCACUGCCCGGCCUGUCCCCCGUGGUGGCACCGCCCCGGGAAGGACAGUCCCUGUCAGGGAUGGUGGCGCUGCCACUGAUGGGUGUGUCCGUGACGGGGGGACUGCCAGUGACGUGUCUGUCCCCAAGGGUGACACCGUCCCUGGAUGGGCACUCCCGGAUGGGGACAGUGGCACUGUCCCUGCCUGGCCAGUCCCUGUCACAGAUGGUGGCACUGUCCCUGGAUGGGCACUCCCUGACAGAGGUGGUGGCUCUGUCCCUGCCAGACCAGUCCCCACGAGGGACGGUGGCACUGUCCCCUCCAGACCAAUCCCCUCGAGGGACAGUGACACCGUCCCUGGAUGGGCACUCCCUCUCAGAGGUGGUGGCUCUGUCCCUGGAUGGACACUCCCUGAUGGGGACAGUGGCACUGUCCCUGCCUGGCCAGUCCCCACGAGGGACAGUGACACCGUCCCUGGAUGGGCACUCCCGGAUGGGGACAGUGGCACUGUCCCUGCCUGGCCAGUCCCUGUCAGAGGUGGUGUCACUGUCCCUUGCUGGCCAGUCCCUGUCACAGAUGGUGGCUCUGUCCCUGCCAGACCAGUCCCCACGAGGAAUGGUGGCACUGUUCCCACCAGACCAGUCCCCACGGGGGACAGUGACACCGUCCCUGUCAGAGGUGGUGGCACUGUCCCUGGAUGGGCACACCCUGAUGGGGACAGUGGCACUGUUCCUGCCAGACCAGUCCCCACGAGGAAUGGUGGCACUGUCCCCACCAGACCAAUCCCCACGAGGGACGGUGACACCGUCCCUGCCCGGCCAGCCCGGGAAGGUGACAGUGGCACCGUCCCUGCCGGGGAUGGUGGCACUGCCACAGGCCAGCGUGUCCCCGAGGGUGGCAGGGCCGGGCAGCCUGGAUUCCACGAUGGUGGCGGUGACCCUGGGGAUGGAGUCCCCGACCAGGACGGUGGCACUGACAAAGACGGGCGUGUCCACGAUGGUGGCAGUGCCCCUGGACAGGCUGGCCCUGACGGGGACGGUGACACUGCCCAGGAUCCUCCUGUCCAUCACGGUGCCACUGAGAGUGACCAGCGCAUCCACGAUGGUGGCAGUGCCCCUGGACGGGCAGUCCCUGAUGGGGACGGUGGCACUGCCAGCUGCCGAGCUGUCCCCAGCGGUGUCACCGGCCCAGAACGGGCUGUCCCUGAUGGGGAUGGCGGCACUGGCGGUGACAGGCGUGUCCACGAUGGUGGCAGUGCCCCUGGAUAGGCUGUCCCUGACGGGGACAGUGGCACUGCCAGCAAAUGGCCUGUCCCCUGGAGUGCCACUGUCCCUGGAGGGACGGUCCCUGGCCGGAGGGGUGCCACUGUCAGUGACCAGCCUGUCCCCAACAGUGUCACUGUCAGUGACCAGCCUGUCCCCAACGGUGUCACUCAGAGUGACCAGCCUGUCCCCAAUGGUGCCACUACUACUGACUGGCCUGUCCCCAACAGUGUCACUGUCUGUGACCAGCCUGUCCCCAACGGUGUCACUGUCUGUGACCAGCCUGUCCCCAACGGUGCCACUCCUACUGACUGGCCUGUCCCCAACAAGGACAGUGACACUGGCAGAGACUGGCAUGGCCCUGACAGUGCCACUGCCCCCAGCUGGGCUGUCCCUGACAGGGACAGUGCCACUGCUCCUGUCCCCACUGUCACUGCCCCUGUGUGAUCUGUCCCUGACAGGGACAGUGGCACUGCCACUGCUCCUGUCACCAAAGUCACUGGGCCUGUGCGGCCUGUCCCUGCUGGGCACGGUGGCACUGCCACUGCUCCUGUCCCCACUGUCACUGUCUCUGAGUGGCCUGUCCCUGCUGGGCAGGGUGGCACUGCCACUGCUCCUGUCCUCAGAGCCACUGCCCCUGUGUGACCUGUCCCUGACGGGGACAGUGGCACUGCCCAGUCUGUCCCCACUGUCACUGGGCCUGUGUGGCCUGUCCCUGACAGGGACGGUGGCACUGCCCAGUCUGUCCCCACUGUCACUGGGCCUGUGUGAUCUGUCCCUGACAGGGACGGUGGCACUGCCAGGCCUGUCCCUUGUGGUGGCACUGCCAGGCCUGUCCCCUGUGGUGUCACUGCUCCUGUCCCCAAAGGUGCCACUGUCUCUGGGUGACCUGUCCCUGACAGGGAUGGUGGCACUGCCACUGCUCCUGUCCCCAACGGUGCCACUGUCUCUGGGUGACCUGUCCCUGACAGGGAUGGUGGCACUGCCACUGCUCCUGUCCCCAGUGCCACUGCUCCUGUCCCCAGUGCCACCGGGCCUGUGUGGCCU
This is a long non-coding RNA of Cyanistes caeruleus (blue tit), 2498 nucleotides long. Ensembl annotates it as proline-rich protein 36-like. NCBI's taxonomy places the organism in Eukaryota, Metazoa, Chordata, Aves, Passeriformes, Paridae. The record is from Ensembl.